GUGAGGAAUAUUGGUCAAUGGGCGAGAGCCUGAACCAGCCAAGUCGCGUGAAGGAAGAAGGAUCUAUGGUUCGUAAACUUCUUUUGCAGGGGAAUAAAGUGCAGGACGUGUCCUGUUUUGUAUGUACCCUGAGAAUAAGGAUCGGCUAACUCCGUGCCAGCAGCCGCGGUAAUACGGAGGAUCCGAGCGUUAUCCGGAUUUAUUGGGUUUAAAGGGUGCGUAGGUGGUUUGAUAAGUCAGCGGUGAAAGUUUGCAGCUUAACUGUAAAAAUGCCGUUGAAACUGUCGGGCUUGAGUGUAAAUGAGGUAGGCGGAAUGCGUGGUGUAGCGGUGAAAUGCAUAGAUAUCACGCAGAACUCCGAUUGCGAAGGCAGCUUACUAAGCUACAACUGACACUGAAGCACGAAAGCGUGGGGAUCAAACAGGAUUAGAAACCCGAGUAGUCC
This 445-nucleotide ribosomal RNA is filed under the name uncultured bacterium. RNAcentral's name for it is "partial 16S ribosomal RNA". It matches the Rfam family "Bacterial small subunit ribosomal RNA", at positions 354 to 796 of the family's 1533-position model. The record is from RNAcentral.